CAGCAGCCGCGGGAAUACGUAGGGUGCAAGCGUUAAUCGGAAUUACUGGGCGUAAAGCGCACGCAGGCGGUCUGUCAAGUCAGAUGUGAAAUCCCCGGGCUUAACCUGGGAACUGCAUUUGAAACUGGCAGGCUAGAGUCUUGUAGAGGGGGGUAGAAUUCCAGGUGUAGCGGUGAAAUGCGUAGAGAUCUGGAGGAAUACCGGUGGCGAAGGCGGCCCCCUGGACAAAGACUGACGCUCAGGUGCGAAAGCGUGGGGAGCAAACAGGAUUAGAUACCCCUGUAGUCCCUGUCUCUUAUAC
Molecule: ribosomal RNA, 301 nt
Filed under: uncultured bacterium
Lineage: Bacteria
Description: partial 16S ribosomal RNA
Rfam family: Bacterial small subunit ribosomal RNA
Source: RNAcentral